Molecule: ribosomal RNA, 353 nt
Filed under: uncultured Methanolinea sp.
Lineage: Archaea; Methanobacteriati; Methanobacteriota; Methanomicrobia; Methanomicrobiales; Methanoregulaceae
Description: bacterial SSU rRNA
Rfam family: Archaeal small subunit ribosomal RNA
Source: RNAcentral
AACACGUGGACAACCUACCCUGUGGAGGGGGAUAACCCCGGAAAACUGGGGAUAAUACCCCAUAGGUUAGGGUGGCUGGAAUGCCCCCUAGCUCAAAGGUCCGCCGCCACAGGAUGGGUCUGCGGCCGAUUAGGUUGUUGUUGGGGUAACGGCCCAACAAGCCUUUGAUCGGUACGGGUUGUGGGAGCAAGAGCCCGGAGAUGGAUUCUGAGACACGAAUCCAGGCCCUACGGGGCGCAGCAGGCGCGAAAACUUUACAAUGCGAGAAAUCGUGAUAAGGGAACCCCGAGUGCCCGUAAAUUCGGGCUGUCCGCCAGUGCAAAAAACUGGUGAAGAAAGAGCCGGGCAAGACC